RNAcentral lists this ribosomal RNA (465 nucleotides) under uncultured bacterium. RNAcentral's name for it is "bacterial SSU rRNA". It matches the Rfam family "Bacterial small subunit ribosomal RNA", at positions 917 to 1382 of the family's 1533-position model. The record is from RNAcentral.
GGGCCCGCACAAGCGGUGGAGCAUGUGGUUUAAUUCGAUGCAACGCGAAGAACCUUACCAGGUCUUGACAUCCUACGGAUUUCUAUGAAAGUAGAAAGUGCCUUCGGGAGCGUAGAGACAGGUGGUGCAUGGUUGUCGUCAGCUCGUGUCGUGAGAUGUUGGGUUAAGUCCCGCAACGAGCGCAACCCCUGCUAUUAGUUGCUAACAUUAAUGAUGAGCACUCUAAUGGGACUGCCUGUGACAAGCAGGAGGAAGGUGGGGAUGACGUCAAAUCAUCAUGCCCUUUAUGAUCUGGGCUACACACGUGCUACAAUGGAUGGUACAGAGGGCAGCGAAGCCGUGAGGUGAAGCGAAUCUCAAAAAGCCAUUCUCAGUUCGGAUUGCAGUCUGCAACUCGACUGCAUGAAGUCGGAAUCGCUAGUAAUCGCGAAUCAGCACGUCGCGGUGAAUGCGUUCCCGGGCCUU